RNAcentral lists this ribosomal RNA (475 nucleotides) under uncultured organism. RNAcentral describes it as "partial 16S ribosomal RNA". It matches the Rfam family "Bacterial small subunit ribosomal RNA", at positions 334 to 800 of the family's 1533-position model. The record is from RNAcentral.
CACUCCUGCGGGAGGCAGCAGUGGGGAAUAUUGCACAAUGGGCGCAAGCCUGAUGCAGCCAUGCCGCGUGUAUGAAGAAGGCCUUCGGGUUGUAAAGUACUUUCAGCGGGGAGGAAGGCAAUACGGUUAAUAACCGUGUUGAUUGACGUUACCCGCAGAAGAAGCACCGGCUAACUCCGUGCCAGCAGCCGCGGUAAUACGGAGGGUGCAAGCGUUAAUCGGAAUUACUGGGCGUAAAGCGCACGCAGGCGGUCUGUCAAGUCGGAUGUGAAAUCCCCGGGCUCAACCUGGGAACUGCAUUCGAAACUGGCAGGCUUGAGUCUUGUAGAGGGGGGUAGAAUUCCAGGUGUAGCGGUGAAAUGCGUAGAGAUCUGGAGGAAUACCGGUGGCGAAGGCGGCCCCCUGGACAAAGACUGACGCUCAGGUGCGAAAGCGUGGGGAGCAAACAGGAUUAGAAACCCCGGUAGUCCCAUGA